RNAcentral lists this long non-coding RNA (3473 nucleotides) under Oryza sativa (Asian cultivated rice). RNAcentral describes it as "long non-coding RNA (OSAT_LNC001000)". Lineage: Eukaryota; Viridiplantae; Streptophyta; Magnoliopsida; Poales; Poaceae. The record is from RNAcentral.
GUCGUCGUCCCGACUUCGCCGCCGUUCGGAUCUCGUCGCCGGCCGUCGUUCGUCGUUGUUCUUUGCACCGGUGAGUUCGCGUCGUUGUCCUCUCCGCGUUGGUGCUCUCGGAUAGCCCGGCCGAGCUCUCUAUCGCCGGCGGAGUUGUGGUCCAGUGCCAUGGCUGCGAUGACAUCAUCGUGAUGUCAUAAAGCCCUUUUCCCUUCUAAAAAUAAAUGUUAAAAUCAGUUUAAUCUUGUAAAAUUCAUAACUAAUUCAUAUGAAGUCGGAAUGAGGCCGUUCAAGUCUCUAAAUUCAUCUAAAAUCAUGAUCUACAUGUUUGUUUACUUUUUAUGUACUAUUUAUUUGGUUUUUAUUAGUCUUUUUCCUCGUUUUGCGUGUUAGCUCGUCGUUUCCGUCGUUUCAAAGGUUCGCGUGUACGUUGGAAGUGUUCAAGAAGAUUAAUUGAAGAGCGAUUAUUGCAAGGCAAGUCACACAGAUCCUAAACACAAUCCUUUGAGCAUAUUGAUCCUAUAUUUAAAUUCUCUAUUUAUUUCAACUGUGCAUUUAUUUUCGAAUGUCACCGGGUGGUGUGAACCUAUUUCUUUGUUAUGGCCAAUUUGCAUUGAUUACUUUAUUCCUUAAUACCUUGGUUAACAAAUUGAUUAGCUUGAACCUUAUAUAUUGGUUUGGUUCAGCUAAAUGCUAUAUAUAUAUAAUUGCUUAGCCAUGCUUAGAAACAUUAUCACAUAAUUGGGAUAACUAAUGUUACACUAUCACUUAUGAUUAUAUUUAAUGGUAGCUCACGAUGGUUAAUCGUGUUAUGAUAAUUAAUUGAUAACUAAAACUUGACAAUGGUGGGUUGUGAGCACAUGGUUUUGAAGGUCGUGCUCAUGACAAUUAAGGACCGGUUCGCGAGCUACUGUUGUGAAACAUUAACCGUACCAACCACAAGCCAGCAUGGGCAACGGCUUUACCUUCUUUAUAGCAUGAUUCAUUGCGGGGCACCAGACUGAGAAGCGGCGAGAAGUCCGUGGGGGUCGCUGGGGAGUCCAUGCCUCUGGUUAUAUUUAUAGAGGGGGUGAUUAUGAUCCAGGAAUGGUGCACUGUGGUGAGUUGUGUUGUGCAGGGGGUAUUGUCAUAGCCUCUAUUCGGGUACUUUCCAGUAUUGUGACGUAUGGUAGACAUGAUGUUGAGGCUGUGUCUUGUGGGUACAGUGGUACACCUCUGGCCAGAGUAAAACUAUUCGAAUAGCCGUGCCCGCGGUCAUGGGCGGGUUGAGCAAUGUUUUUCGUGAUUAGUCUCACACCUCUCACAAUAAUUAUGGAUGUUAUAACUGGUAAUAAUUUGCUUAGCUCCUGGUAUGGAGUUAGAUCUGUACAGUCGGGUAUGGUUGUUCAGGAUGGUUGGGCCUGAGCAGCAUGGGUGUGCUGUUCAGUGUUGAUUAAAAUUGAUGAUUAAUUACUCUACUGUUUUACUUCUAAAUGUUUGCUAAAUGCUGUUUUUGCAAAUGAGACUAUAUUAUGCCAUCAUUUGGUAUCCUUGUGCACUUACAUAUUUGCUGUGUGGCUUGUUGAGUAUUUCAUAUGCUCAUUCUUGCAAUAAUCAAUCAACCUCAGUUGAAGAAAAAAGAUCCAGAAGGAGAAGACGUUUGGCUUAUACCCCAGUUGAGUUGCCUGUGGGAGUGGAGCUGAAGCCAUCGCUAGACCGUUAUUCCGCUGCUGUUGUUUUUCUUUUCUUUUGUAAGUAUGUAACGUUAUUAUUAUGAUGGAUUUGUAUAUUAAAUUGUCAGUUUGUGUACCUCGGCUCAUUCCUGGACGAGGAUUUUAUGCACAAAUUAGUUCGGAAAUUAUUAGUGAAUUUCCGGGCGUGACAUCCCAUGCCCUGCUCGAGCUCGUCGGCGCGAGGAGAAACCACCACCGCUUGCCUCUCUCCUCUGUCCUGCCGCCGCCGCUCACUGUCCACACUCCCACGCCAUGCUCAAGCUCGUCGGCGCGAGGAGAAACCGCCGCUCGCCUCUCUCCUCUGUCCCGCCGCCGCCGCUUGCCGUCCACACUCCCACGCCAGAUCCAACCACAACUCGAGCUCCCGCCACUCCCUUCGCCGACGGCUGGGGCGAAACGCGGCAACGUUGGGCGCGGUGGUCGACGGCAAGCGCCUGGUCGGGAGGCCAGAUCUGGUCGGCCGUGUCGUCGCCGGGGUCCUUGUCAGCGGCCGCUCCACCACAUCGUGCCAUCGCCAACCUCUACCCAUCCCCUCCCUCUCUCUAUGCUUCGACGACGAUGCCGUCGCGGCGGCGGUGGCGGCGGCGGCGGUUGUUGUGCGCGGGUUCAUCUUGCUUUGCUCCGGCGGAGGGAGGAGUCCUCGCCGGCGCCAUCCAGGUUCGUCACCGCCGCUCGCCCAUCGUCGUCCCUGGUGAGGGGCAAGAAGGGGGAAUUGUGGAGAGGGAAAGGAAAGAAAACGUGGGGACCUCAGUGAAAAGCACAGAGAGUGCUAGAGCCGCGCGUUCCCCUCCUAGGGGUCACGCCUCCCUCUAGGAGGACGGCUCGGAGACGUUCUCGGGACGACGUGAGUGAAGACACGACUCAAGGGUACGCAUUGCUGAUGCCCUUAUUACAGCAUGAUUAAGGCCAUGCUUGUUUCAGCUUAAGAUUAUAAUAAGCCCGCAUAGGAUAAGCUGUUAGCUGUCUAUUUCUCUAGAUUAUUAGCUGUUUGUUAGUUGUUAGCCACCCAAUAAUCUAAAAAAACACCUUUAGAGUGGAUUAUCAUAUUAUAGUAAUCUGGCUUAUAGAUUGUAGUAAUAUAUCAUAAUAAGCUAUCUGUUUGUUUCAACUUACUCCUAAUAAUUCAGAUUAUAAUAAUCUUAAGCUAAAUAAAACAAUGCCUAAGUAUUUCUAUAAAUAAAAGAACUAAAAAAAUAAAAAUAGAUUAGCGUUUUUUAGAUAAUAAAAAUAGAUUAGCAUGGUUUUUGCAAAGCAACUUUUCUAUUGAAAAAUAUUUGAAAAAACGAUCCGUUUAGCAGUUAGACAAGCGUGUGCGUGGAAAAUAGGAGCAUAAGUUGGGAAAGGUUGGUGUGGAAGGAAGCCUAACCCUUUCUCCUGGCAUUUCUCUUGGCCCGGUGAAGCUUAAAAUGUCCCAAACAAUGUGAAAAUUAUGAGCUGUGCAAAAUGAACCAAGUAGUGACUAGUGAAAGCACCGUUGAGCAGGGCUUACAAAUCCGUUUCUGGAGGUGGGUGCGAACCCCCAUCGAAUUCACGAAAUUCGUUGAGUGCUAAUAAUGCUCGAUCAAACCGAUAAGAAAAAUGUACACGAAAUUUGAAUCAAGAAUGAAGUUCACUUGUUUUCCAGCAAAAAAAAAGAUGUGUUUUUUAAGCUGAAGUAUUUUUGCUCAUUUUUUAUCCAAAUUAAAAGGUUUCCAGGAAAAUUGUAUAUAAUACAUGCAAACAAUUUCAGGUACCUAUUAAUCCAAGAUAAACUCACGGAAUUGAAGGUGG